CCGGCGACCGGCGCACGGGUGAGUAACACGUAUGGAACCUGCCCGCAGCAGGGGGAUAAGCGGAGAAAUUCCGUCUAAUACCGCGUAACAACGUUGGGAGGCAUCUCCCGAUGUUUAAAGAUUUAUCGGCUGCGGAUGGCCAUGCGGCGCAUUAGCUAGUCGGCGGGGUAACGGCCCACCGAGGCGACGAUGCGUAGGGGUUCUGAGAGGAAGGUCCCCCACACUGGUACUGAGACACGGACCAGACUCCUACGGAAGGCAGCAG
RNAcentral lists this ribosomal RNA (265 nucleotides) under uncultured bacterium. RNAcentral describes it as "partial 16S ribosomal RNA". It matches the Rfam family "Bacterial small subunit ribosomal RNA", at positions 88 to 354 of the family's 1533-position model. The record is from RNAcentral.